UGGGGAAUAUUGGACAAUGGGGGAAACCCUGAUCCAGCAAUGCCGCGUGGGUGAAGAAGGCCUGCGGGUUGUAAAGCCCUUUCGGUGGGGAAGAAAUCUUGGUGGUAAAUAAUCAUCAAGUCUGACGUUACCCAAGGAAGAAGCACCGGCUAACUCUGUGCCAGCAGCCGCGGUAAUACAGAGGGUGCAAGCGUUAAUCGGAAUUACUGGGCGUAAAGAGUACGUAGGUAGUUAAAUAAGUUGGAUGUGAAAUCCUCGGGCUUAACCUGAGAACUGCAUUCAAUACUGUUUGACUAGAGUGUGGUAGAGGAAAGUGGAAUUCCUAGUGUAGCGGUGAAAUGCGUAGAUAUUAGGAGGAACAUCAGUGGCGAAGGCGACUUUCUGGACUAACACUGACACUGAGGUACGAAAGCGUGGGGAGCAAACA
RNAcentral lists this ribosomal RNA (427 nucleotides) under uncultured bacterium. RNAcentral's name for it is "bacterial SSU rRNA". It matches the Rfam family "Bacterial small subunit ribosomal RNA", at positions 355 to 774 of the family's 1533-position model. The record is from RNAcentral.